This 719-nucleotide long non-coding RNA is filed under the name Coffea arabica (coffee). RNAcentral's name for it is "long non-coding RNA (CARA_LNC000888)". The record is from RNAcentral. Lineage: Eukaryota; Viridiplantae; Streptophyta; Magnoliopsida; Gentianales; Rubiaceae.
UGGUAUAGCUAUUACACAUAAAAAUCCCUUGUGGUUCAAAUCAUACCUAUCGGUACUCCAUGGUUUGAAAGAAAGUGCAUUUUCGAUGGAAAUCGUUGAAGGAAAUGCGAUUAUCAACCGUGCACUGAAAAGGAGCGUAGUUGCUUCGGAAAAUGGUUUUUUAACUCAAAGUUUGAGCUGAUAUACCUCUUGUGCCCUUGACAACUUAUUAAAACUUCAAGCCAAUCAGCUUCUUCAGCAUUUUGCAACAACCCAGCUUCUUUGACCGAAGAAUUGCUCAAGCUCUCGUGCCUCCUUAAGAUCGAGGAGGAAAAUCUGCAGGCUCGUGCCUCCUUUAAGUGCAAGUUUCAAAAGGUAAAACCUUUAACCAUUUGGAAUAUCAAUAAAUUCUUAUAAUGAACUUUAUAUUUUUCUUUGUGUAAACAGUGGAGGGAAUAAUUAAGAAACCGUACGAUGAUGUCUUCCUCAAGCUCUCGACCAGGCAGUGGGGGAAACGGAGCUAGAGAUCUUCGAUUUUUCAGCAAUCUUCACUUCCUUGUAUUUCCUGUCGCUGUCGGAGUUUGAUUGCUAUAACAAUCGGGAAUUUGGUUGAUAAUUGCCUCUCUCUCUCUCUCUCUCUCUCUCUCUCUCUCUCUCUCUCUCUCUCUCUCUUUUUAUCCAAUGGAAGACUUCAAGCUUUACAAGAGAGUAGGAGUAACAGUUGCAAUUUUCGAUACAAC